CAGCAGCCGCCGCGGUAAUACGGAGGGUGCAAGCGUUAAUCGGAAUUACUGGGCGUAAAGCGCACGCAGGCGGUCUGACAAGUCAGAUGUGAAAUCCCCGGGCUUAACCUGGGAACUGCAUUUGAAACUGUCAGGCUGGAGUCUUGUAGAGGGGGGUGGAAUUCCAGGUGUAGCGGUGAAAUGCGUAGAGAUCUGGAGGAAUACCGGUGGCGAAGGCGGCCCCCUGGACAAAGACUGACGCUCAGGUGCGAAAGCGUGGGGAGCAAACAGGAUUAGAUACCCCUGUAGUCCCUGUCUCUUAUAA
Molecule: ribosomal RNA, 304 nt
Filed under: uncultured bacterium
Lineage: Bacteria
Description: partial 16S ribosomal RNA
Rfam family: Bacterial small subunit ribosomal RNA
Source: RNAcentral